RNAcentral lists this ribosomal RNA (256 nucleotides) under uncultured bacterium. Its description in RNAcentral is "partial small subunit ribosomal RNA". It matches the Rfam family "Bacterial small subunit ribosomal RNA", at positions 26 to 285 of the family's 1533-position model. The record is from RNAcentral.
AGGACGAACGCUGGCGGCGUGCUUAACACAUGCAAGUCGAACGGUGACCCAGGGCUUGCCCUGGUGAUCAGUGGCGAACGGGUGAGUAACACGUGGGCAACCUGCCCCAGACUCUGGGAUAACUCCGGGAAACCGGGCUAAUACCGGAUACGAAUCGAGUUGGCAUCUUCUCGAUUGGAAAGUUUUUCGGUCUGGGAUGGGCCCGCGGCCUAUCAGCUUGUUGGUGGGUAAUGGCCUACCAAGGCGACGACGGGUA